This 1139-nucleotide long non-coding RNA is filed under the name Arabidopsis lyrata. RNAcentral describes it as "long non-coding RNA (ALYR_LNC003273)". Lineage: Eukaryota; Viridiplantae; Streptophyta; Magnoliopsida; Brassicales; Brassicaceae. The record is from RNAcentral.
GACGAACUCGAUGAUUGAGACAGAAAUCGAAGAUGAUGAUAGAGUGUUGAAAGCGCGACAUGGAGAUUCGGAGCUUCAAUUUCGUCUAUUUGGGACUUCUCUCUCUCGUCUUCUUCAUCCCCCAAUGGUAAAAACCGCUAAAUUAAACAAAAUUGACGAAUUGGUUCUUCUUCUUCACUCAGUAGAUAAUCGCAGACUAUUGUAUCCAUUUUUUUUCUUUUGCUCGCUGAGAUUUUGUUUUCAUUCUUGCGUUACUCGUUAGCCCUAAUCCCCUAAGUAGGGAUCAAAGUUGCAUCUUUUUAAACUCUGUUUCUAUAAUUUCUUGCCAUUUUUCUUGAAGCAAUGCAAAAACUCCGUCUUAAGUCUGUAAUCAGAAGAGACUGUGAUGUCCCUUAGACAUGAAACUCACCAAACUGCUUAUUAGACUCAGUUAGACAGAUAUCUCUAUUUUAUCAUGCUCAAUAUGCUUAUUGCCUGUUUCUUAUUUAUCACAAAAGGCACAGGACUUGUGGUGGUGGCCCUGCAUAUGCUACACCCGACAAGCAUUAGAGCUCCUACCAUUUCUUGUGUCUGCAAUUAGAAGCUGUCCUAACAAAUCUGAUGGAAGCACAUGAUACUAAAGUCAUCAUCUUUCUUACAGGUCAAACGAUUCCCAGAAGAAGAAUGCUGAUCUUGCCAAUUAUCAUUGCCAGUUUGGACUAUUGAAAAAUGGUACAUUCUUGAUCAAGGACAGACAAAGUUGGUCUCCUGUUUAAGACAGAAGAUGAGAUUCUGUUGCAAAAACAAGGUAACAUUCACAAAUCCUAGACAUUUUGGUAUCACUAUCUUUGCCUCUUUAAGCUUAUUUAUCAAUUUUCAGAAGAUGAAUGAUACAUACAAGUAAAACAAAAAAGCCUGAAAAAAUCUACAACUUUGCGAUCAUUCUGAGCAUGUUUGCUGCAUCUUUGGCGUUAUCAGGGAUAGGAAGAUUACAGAUAAGUGUAACCCUAGAGGAAGAUAUUAAGAUUUUGUUAGCUUUAUCUUUCUCUGUUGUUUUCCAUAACUUGACUUCCCAAACCUGAAUAGUCUUCCCUGUGCUUACAGGAGUUGCUUCGGCGAAGACAAGGUCUCCGAGAUCAGCACUCUUCAAAUGGUUGAUU